Molecule: long non-coding RNA, 298 nt
Filed under: Daucus carota (carrot)
Lineage: Eukaryota; Viridiplantae; Streptophyta; Magnoliopsida; Apiales; Apiaceae
Description: long non-coding RNA (DCAR_LNC006201)
Source: RNAcentral
UCAAGAAGGCUCUCAAUGUCAGGUUUGUACCAGAUGCAUCAAAGAACGUGUUGUCUUUGAGCGUGUUGGCAUCACGGGGGUACAGAUUCGUUGGACGAGGGUGAAGUUGCAAGGUGUAUAAAGGAAAGAGCUUGAUUCUACGAGGGAUGAUGAACAAGAAGAACAUCUAUUGUUUAGAUGGUGGAGAAACGAAGACGAAGACCGAGAAAAAGGUGAGAUUCUCGGAUUCAGUUGAAGUAUUAGGGAAUUCGAGCCGAGGGAGGAUUUGUUGGGUUCCGUCCCGAAUUCCUAAAUAAGU